Molecule: ribosomal RNA, 266 nt
Filed under: uncultured Weissella sp.
Lineage: Bacteria; Bacillati; Bacillota; Bacilli; Lactobacillales; Lactobacillaceae
Description: partial 16S ribosomal RNA
Rfam family: Bacterial small subunit ribosomal RNA
Source: RNAcentral
UUUCGGCUCGUAAAACACUGUUGUAAGAGAAGAAUGACAUUGAGAGUAACUGUUCAAUGUGUGACGGUAUCUUACCAGAAAGGAACGGCUAAAUACGUGCCAGCAGCCGCGGUAAUACGUAUGUUCCAAGCGUUAUCCGGAUUUAUUGGGCGUAAAGCGAGCGCAGACGGUUAUUUAAGUCUGAAGUGAAAGCCCUCAGCUCAACUGAGGAAUUGCUUUGGAAACUGGAUGACUUGAGUGCAGUAGAGGAAAGUGGAACUCCAUGU